UUGAAUAAAUUUAGGGUUGGCAGUUGCUGGCUCUUCUCUCCAUUCAUUUGGGGGGGAGCGCAAUAUGUGCACGCCUUUCUCUAUUUUUUUCAUCCACACACACCUGUGCACUUGUGAGAUGGAGGGGGCAGAUUUUAUAUUUGACCCUUCCAUCUAUUACACUACACAAACUCAUUUAUUUUAAACUGAAUGUAAUUGAUGUAACGCAUCAUUUAAAC
This 218-nucleotide unclassified non-coding RNA is filed under the name uncultured Ceratobasidiaceae. RNAcentral's name for it is "sequence contains ITS1". The record is from RNAcentral. Lineage: Eukaryota; Fungi; Basidiomycota; Agaricomycetes; Cantharellales; Ceratobasidiaceae.